RNAcentral lists this long non-coding RNA (415 nucleotides) under Trifolium pratense (red clover). Its description in RNAcentral is "long non-coding RNA (TPRA_LNC007560)". The record is from RNAcentral. Lineage: Eukaryota; Viridiplantae; Streptophyta; Magnoliopsida; Fabales; Fabaceae.
UUGCAUACUCUGCCGGUGUCGCUUCUGGCUGUCUUCAAUCAAUAACAUAAAUUAAACGUAAUAAGAUAAUUAACUCAAAUUAAAUACCAUAUUCAUAUUCUUGUAACAACACUCUUUAACCAAUAAGCAAAAUCAAUACCCAUUCCUCCCAACAAGAGGAUUACCCUCAAACACACCAAAAAACGCAUGGCACAGCAGAAGAAGCAGAACAACACACAAAGGGCCACAGGUCUCUCGUAUUUCAGUGAAAAUAAAAGACAAAAAGUGUGAAAAAACGGACCUUCAGGAACUAAACACCAACCCAACUCUUUCUAUCCAAACAAAUCGAGCAGAAGCAACCCAACUCCACUGGUAACCUAAUAAACCAAAUUGAAGAUAAAAAUUUAAAAUAUGAAUUGAAUUUAGGUUAUAAAAA